RNAcentral lists this ribosomal RNA (460 nucleotides) under uncultured bacterium. Its description in RNAcentral is "partial 16S ribosomal RNA". It matches the Rfam family "Bacterial small subunit ribosomal RNA", at positions 338 to 795 of the family's 1533-position model. The record is from RNAcentral.
CCUACGGGAGGCAGCAGUGAGGAAUAUUGGUCAAUGGGCGCGAGCCUGAACCAGCCAAGUCGCGUGAGGGAGGACGGCCCUACGGGUUGUAAACCUCUUUUGCCGGGGAGCAACGGUCGUCACGUGUGGCGCCACUGAGAGUACCCGGAGAAAAAGCAUCGGCUAACUCCGUGCCAGCAGCCGCGGUAGUACGGAGGAUGCGAGCGUUAUCCGGAGUUAUUGGGUUUAAAGGGUGCGUAGGCGGAAUGUCAAGUCAGCGGUAAAAUUUCGGGGCUCAACCCCGUCGUGCCGUGGAAACUGGCGAUCUUGAGUGAGCGAGAAGUAAGCGGAAUGCGUGGUGUAGCGGUGAAAUGCAUAGAUAUCACGCAGAACUCCGAUUGCGAAGGCAGCAUACCGGCGCUCAACUGACGCUCAUGCACGAAAGCGUGGGUAGCGAACAGGAUUAGAUACCCCUGUAGUC